UACGUAGGUGGCAAGCGUUGUCCGGAUUUAUUGGGUUUAAAGGGUGCGUAGGCGGUCUUAUAAGUCAGUGCUGAAAUAUCCCGGCUUAACCGGGAGGGCGGCAUUGAUACUGUAGGACUUGAGUAAAGUUGAGGUAGGCGGAAUUGACGGUGUAGCGGUGAAAUGCUUAGAUAUCGUCAAGAACACCGAUAGUGUAGACAGCUUACUAAGCUUUAACUGACGCUGAGGCACGAAAGUGUGGGGAUCAAACAGG
This 253-nucleotide ribosomal RNA is filed under the name uncultured bacterium. Its description in RNAcentral is "partial 16S ribosomal RNA". It matches the Rfam family "Bacterial small subunit ribosomal RNA", at positions 524 to 776 of the family's 1533-position model. The record is from RNAcentral.